This 92-nucleotide transfer RNA is filed under the name bacterium. RNAcentral describes it as "tRNA-Ser". It matches the Rfam family "tRNA". Rfam says of the family: Transfer RNA (tRNA) molecules are approximately 80 nucleotides in length. Their secondary structure includes four short double-helical elements and three loops (D, anti-codon, and T loops). The record is from RNAcentral. RNAcentral also lists the same sequence under 1 other name.
GGAGAGGUGGCAGAGCGGUUGAAUGCGGCGGUCUUGAAAACCGUUAUUCCUGGGAACAGGAAUCGGGGGUUCGAAUCCCUCCCUCUCCACCA